UACAGAGGGUGCAAGCGUUAAUCGGAAUUACUGGGCGUAAAGGGUGCGUAGGUGGUUAAUUAAGUCAGAUGUGAAAUCCCAAGGCUUAACCUUGGAAUUGCAUAUGAUACUGGUUAGCUAGAGUACAGAAGAGGGAAGUGGAAUUUCCGGUGUAGCGGUGAAAUGCGUAGAUAUCGGAAGGAACAUCAGUGGCGAAGGCGACUUCCUGGUCUGUUACUGACACUGAGGCACGAAAGCGUGGGGAGCGAACAGG
This 253-nucleotide ribosomal RNA is filed under the name uncultured bacterium. Its description in RNAcentral is "partial 16S ribosomal RNA". It matches the Rfam family "Bacterial small subunit ribosomal RNA", at positions 524 to 776 of the family's 1533-position model. The record is from RNAcentral.